This 396-nucleotide unclassified non-coding RNA is filed under the name soil metagenome. Its description in RNAcentral is "partial contains 5.8S ribosomal RNA, internal transcribed spacer 2, and large subunit ribosomal RNA". The stretch from base 1 to 122 matches the Rfam family "5.8S ribosomal RNA", at positions 35 to 154 of the family's 154-position model. The record is from RNAcentral.
GAUGAAGAACGUAGCGAAAUGUGAUACUUGGUGUGAAUUGCAGAAUCCCGUGAACCAUCGAGUCUUUGAACGCAAGUUGCGCCCGAAGCCAUUUGGUUGAGGGCACGUCUGCCUGGGCGUCACAUAUCGUUGCCCGAUGCCUAUUGCACUGUGAUAGGAAAUUCUAGGGCGAAAGAUGGCUUCCCGUGAGCGUUGUUGCCUCGCGGUUGGUUGAAAAUCGAGUUCUUGGUAGGGUGUGCCAUGAUAGAUGGUGGUCGAGUUUGCACGAGACCGAUCAUGUGUGCGCUCCCCAAAAUAUGGACUCUUUGACCCCACACGCGUCUUUUGACGCUCAUGACGAGACCUCAGGUCAGGCGGGGCUACCCGCUGAGUUUAAGCAUAUCAAUAAGCGGAGGA